RNAcentral lists this transfer RNA (58 nucleotides) under Chandlerella quiscali. RNAcentral's name for it is "tRNA-Ile". The record is from RNAcentral. Lineage: Eukaryota; Metazoa; Nematoda; Chromadorea; Rhabditida; Onchocercidae.
GUUAUAGUAGUUUAUAUUUUAGAAUUUCGUUUUGAUGAGGCGAGGGUUUUUUAUAAUU